AUUGAACGCUGGCGGCAGGCCUAACACAUGCAAGUCGAACGGUAACAGGAAGAAGCUUUCUUGUUUGCUUACGAGUGGCGGACGGUUGAGGAAGGUCUGGGAAACUGCCGGAUGGAGGGGGAUAACUACUGGAAACGGUAGCUAAUACCGCAUAACGUGGCAAGACCAAAAGGAGGUUCUUCAGGGCGCGGCCCCUCGGCUGUGCGCAGGUGGGAUUAGCUAGUAGGUGGGGUAACGGCACACCUAGGCGACGAUGCCUAGCUGGUCUGAGAGGAUGACCAGCCACACUGGAACUGAGACACGGUCCAGACUCCUACGGGAGGCAGCAGUGGGGAAUAUUGCCCAAUGGGCGCAAGCCUGAUGCAGCCAUGCCGCGUGUAUGAAGAAGGCCUUCGGGUUGUAAAGUACUUUCAGAGGGGAGGAAGGGAGUAAAGUUAAUACCUUUGCUCAUUGACGUUACCCGAAGAAGAAGCACCGGCUAACUCCGUG
Molecule: ribosomal RNA, 489 nt
Filed under: uncultured bacterium
Lineage: Bacteria
Description: partial 16S ribosomal RNA
Rfam family: Bacterial small subunit ribosomal RNA
Source: RNAcentral